Molecule: non-coding RNA, 26 nt
Filed under: Mus musculus (house mouse)
Lineage: Eukaryota; Metazoa; Chordata; Mammalia; Rodentia; Muridae
Source: RNAcentral
UACUUUCAGAAUUGGAGUGCAGAACA